Molecule: ribosomal RNA, 769 nt
Filed under: Micrococcus sp.
Lineage: Bacteria; Bacillati; Actinomycetota; Actinomycetes; Micrococcales; Micrococcaceae
Description: bacterial SSU rRNA
Source: RNAcentral
CUUGCUGGGUGGAUUAGUGGCGAACGGGUGAGAACACGUGAGUAACCUGCCCUUAACUCUGGGAUAAGCCUGGGAAACUGGGUCUAAUACCGGAUAGGAGCGUCCACCGCAUGGUGGGUGUUGGAAAGAUUUAUCGGUUUUGGAUGGACUCGCGGCCUAUCAGCUUGUUGGUGAGGUAAUGGCUCACCAAGGCGACGACGGGUAGCCGGCCUGAGAGGGUGACCGGCCACACUGGGACUGAGACACGGCCCAGACUCCUACGGGAGGCAGCAGUGGGGAAUAUUGCACAAUGGGCGMAAGCCUGAUGCAGCGACGCCGCGUGAGGGAUGACGGCCUUCGGGUUGUAAACCUCUUUCAGUAGGGAAGAAGCGAAAGUGACGGUWCYUGCAGAAGAAGCACCGGCUAACUACGUGCCAGCAGCCGCGGUAAUACGUAGGGUGCGAGCGUUAUCCGGAAUUAUUGGGCGUAAAGAGCUCGUAGGCGGUUUGUCGCGUCUGUCGUGAAAGUCCGGGGCUUAACCCCGGAUCUGCGGUGGGUACGGGCAGACUAGAGUGCAGUAGGGGAGACUGGAAUUCCUGGUGUAGCGGUGGAAUGCGCAGAUAUCAGGAGGAACACCGAUGGCGAAGGCAGGUCUCUGGGCUGUAACUGACGCUGAGGAGCGAAAGCAUGGGGAGCGAACAGGAUUAGAUACCCUGGUAGUCCAUGCCGUAAACGUUGGGCACUAGGUGUGGGGACCAUUCCACGGUUUCCGCGCCGCAGCUAACGCAUU